RNAcentral lists this ribosomal RNA (614 nucleotides) under uncultured bacterium. RNAcentral's name for it is "bacterial SSU rRNA". It matches the Rfam family "Bacterial small subunit ribosomal RNA", at positions 338 to 946 of the family's 1533-position model. The record is from RNAcentral.
CCUACGGGAGGCAGCAGUGGGGAAUUUUGGACAAUGGGCGCAAGCCUGAUCCAGCAAUGCCGCGUGCAGGAUGAAGGCCUUCGGGUUGUAAACUGCUUUUGUACGGAACGAAACGGCCCUUUCUAAUACAAGGGGUUAAUGACGGUACCGUAAGAAUAAGCACCGGCUAACUACGUGCCAGCAGCCGCGGUAAUACGUAGGGUGCGAGCGUUAAUCGGAAUUACUGGGCGUAAAGCGUGCGCAGGCGGUUAUAUAAGACAGAUGUGAAAUCCCCGGGCUCAACCUGGGACCUGCAUUUGUGACUGUAUAGCUAGAGUACGGUAGAGGGGGAUGGAAUUCCGCGUGUAGCAGUGAAAUGCGUAGAUAUGCGGAGGAACACCGAUGGCGAAGGCAAUCCCCUGGACCUGUACUGACGCUCAUGCACGAAAGCGUGGGGAGCAAACAGGAUUAGAUACCCUGGUAGUCCACGCCCUAAACGAUGUCAACUGGUUGUUGGGUCUUCACUGACUCAGUAACGAAGCUAACGCGUGAAGUUGACCGCCUGGGGAGUACGGCCGCAGGUUGAAACUUAAGGAAUUGACGGCUGAGACGNGCGAGACGACGACGAGGAGAGG